GUGGGGAAUAUUGGACAAUGGGCGAAAGCCUGAUCCAGCCAUGCCGCGUGUGUGAAGAAGGUCUUCGGAUUGUAAAGCACUUUAAGUUGGGAGGAAGGGCAGUAAGUUAAUACCUUGCUGUUUUGACGUUACCAACAGAAUAAGCACCGGCUAACUUCGUGCCAGCAGCCGCGGUAAUACGAAGGGUGCAAGCGUUAAUCGGAAUUACUGGGCGUAAAGCGCGCGUAGGUGGUUCAGCAAGUUGAAGGUGAAAUCCCCGGGCUCAACCUGGGAACUGCCUCCAAAACUACUGAGCUAGAGUACGGUAGAGGGUAGUGGAAUUUCCUGUGUAGCGGUGAAAUGCGUAGAUAUAGGAAGGAACACCAGUGGCGAAGGCGACUACCUGGACUGAUACUGACACUGAGGUGCGAAAGCGUGGGGAGCAAACAGGAUUAGAUACCCGUGUAGUCC
This 450-nucleotide ribosomal RNA is filed under the name uncultured bacterium. RNAcentral describes it as "bacterial SSU rRNA". It matches the Rfam family "Bacterial small subunit ribosomal RNA", at positions 354 to 796 of the family's 1533-position model. The record is from RNAcentral.